Molecule: ribosomal RNA, 443 nt
Filed under: uncultured bacterium
Lineage: Bacteria
Description: partial 16S ribosomal RNA
Rfam family: Bacterial small subunit ribosomal RNA
Source: RNAcentral
GACGAACGCUGGCGGCGUGCCUAAUGCAUGCAAGUCGAACGGGUCUUCCUCGGGAGGUCGGUGGCGAGCGGGUGAGGAACACGAGGGGGCCUAUCCGUCAGGGGGGGACCACACCGCGAAAGCGGUGCUAAUCCCGCAUCCGCCCGGCGGAGGAAAGCUUGGCAACACGGGGUGCAGACUGGCCCUGGGUCGCAUCAGGUGGUAGGGGGGGUAACGGCCCACCAAGCCCGCGAGGGGUCGCUGGUCUGUGAGGACGACCAGCCAGACUGGGACUGAGACACGGCCCAGACUCCUACGGGAGGCAGCAGCAGGGAAUUUUCGGCAAUGGGCGAAAGCCUGACCGAGCCACGCCGCGUGCGGGAUGACGGCCUUCGGGUUGUAAACCGCUUUCGGCGGGGAAGAUACUGACGGUACCCCCCGAAUCAGCCCCGGCUAACUCUGUG